Molecule: ribosomal RNA, 440 nt
Filed under: uncultured bacterium
Lineage: Bacteria
Description: partial 16S ribosomal RNA
Rfam family: Bacterial small subunit ribosomal RNA
Source: RNAcentral
CCUACGGGAGGCAGCAGUGGGGGAUAUUGCACAAUGGGGGAAACCCUGAUGCAGCGACGCCGCGUGUGGGAAGACGGUCCUCUGGAUUGUAAACCACUGUCCCCAGGGACGAAGAUGACGGUACCUGGGGAGGAAGCUCCGGCAAACUACGUGCCAGCAGCCGCGGUAAUACGUAGGGAGCGCGCGUUGUCCGGAAUUACUGGGUGUAAGGGGAGCGUAGGCGGGACUGCAAGUUGGGUGUAAAAUCUACCGGCUCAACCGGUAGCCGCACUCAAAACUGCAGUUCUUGAGUGAAGUAGAGGCAGGCGGAAUUCCUAGUGUAGCGGUGAAAUGCGUAGAUAUUAGGAGGAACACCAGUGGCGAAGGCGGCCUGCUGGGCUUUUACUGACGCUGAGGCUCGAAAGUGUGGGGAGCAAACAGGAUUAGAUACCCGGGUAGUC